AGGACGAACGCUGGCGGCGUGCUUAACACAUGCAAGUCGAGCGGAAAGGCCCUUCGGGGUACUCGAGCGGCGAACGGGUGAGUAACACGUGAGCAACCUGCCCUUAGCUCCGGGAUAGCUCCGGGAAACCGGAAUUAAUACCGGAUACAACCACGGCCGACAUCUGCUGUGGUGGAAAGGAUUCCGGCUAAGGAUGGGCUCGCGGCCUAUCAGCUAGUUGGUGGAGUAACGGCCCACCAAGGCGACGACGGGUAGCCGGCCUGAGAGGGCGACCGGCCACGACUGGGACUGAGACACGGCCCAGACUCCUACGGGAGGCAGCAGUGGGAAUAUUGCGCAAUGGGCGAAAGCCUGACGCAGCGACGCCGCGUGGGGAUGAAGGCCUUCGGGUUGUAAACCCCUUUCAGCAGGGACGAAGCGAAAGUGACGGUACCUGCAGAAGAAGCGCCGGCUAACUACGUGCCAGCAGCCGC
RNAcentral lists this ribosomal RNA (473 nucleotides) under uncultured bacterium. Its description in RNAcentral is "SSU rRNA". It matches the Rfam family "Bacterial small subunit ribosomal RNA", at positions 26 to 518 of the family's 1533-position model. The record is from RNAcentral.